GAUGAACGCUGGCGGCGUGCUUAACACAUGCAAGUCGAACGUGAUAGGUAGCAAUAUCUUGAAAGUGGCGAACGGGUGAGUAACACGUGGGUAACCUGCCUCGGAGUGGGGGAUAACAGUUAGAAAUGACUGCUAAAACCGCAUGAAUCCAUCGAUUGGGGACAAUUAAUGGAGAAAACUCUGGUGCUUCGAGAGGGCCCGCGGCCGAUUAGCUAGUUGGUGAGGUAACGGCUCACCAAGGCGACGAUCGGUAGCUGGUCUGAGAGGACGAUCAGCCACACGGGAACUGAGACACGGUCCCGACUCCUACGGGGGGCAGCAGUGAGGAAUAUUGGGCAAUGGGCGCAAGCCUGACCCAGCAACGCCGCGUGGAGGAAUGAAGGGCCUUCGGGUUGGUAAACUCCUUUUGCAGGGGAAGGAGGAAGGACGGUACCCUGCGAAUAAGUCACGGCUAACUAACGUGCCAGCAGCCGCGGUAA
This 479-nucleotide ribosomal RNA is filed under the name uncultured bacterium. RNAcentral's name for it is "bacterial SSU rRNA". It matches the Rfam family "Bacterial small subunit ribosomal RNA", at positions 28 to 523 of the family's 1533-position model. The record is from RNAcentral.